Lupinus albus (white lupine) is the source of this 132-nucleotide non-coding RNA. The record is from the annotation of a GenBank genome assembly. NCBI's taxonomy places the organism in Eukaryota, Viridiplantae, Streptophyta, Magnoliopsida, Fabales, Fabaceae.
UUGUUUGCUGGUGGAGCAUCAUCAAGAUUCACAAGCUAUAGAGGGGUUUGUUUGAGGCUUGGUCCCUUUGUUGCUCCAAACCAACUAGCCUUUGUGAUAUGAGAAUCUUGAUGAUGCUGCAGUGGCAAUAGA